This is a long non-coding RNA of Oncorhynchus tshawytscha (Chinook salmon), 2241 nucleotides long. RefSeq lists it as uncharacterized. The transcript is spliced from 3 exons. The record is from RefSeq and is a predicted model, not a curated record. Lineage: Eukaryota; Metazoa; Chordata; Actinopteri; Salmoniformes; Salmonidae.
UCAUUUACACGUGAGUCUCAAUAUAACCAUUAAAAAUAUCUCACAAGAGUAAGGUUAUCGACAUUUCUCUAAUCUCUACUAUUUCGCGGACCACGGUGUUGGUGACUGAACCAUAUAAAUUAUAUUCUGAUGUUUUAUGAAGGCGGUAAAUAAACUUCACUGGUGCUUUAUCGCCACCCUGGACUGGAGUAAAACAGGGUACUUUUGUUUUCUUAUCUACACGGACAACAGCUUUUUAUGUUAUUUGAAGAAUCUAAAAUGACUGCUGUGCAUUUUUCACUACAUUGAAUAAGAAAUAGAGAAUGGUUGUGAUUUGGCCACUUUGAUUUUGAAGUACAUUUCAUGAAUCGGAAAUAAAAUACCGUGCGAAUUGGCCCGAGUAAUGUAGUAGCGAAUAACUACUGUUGUCAAAGCUGGAAGUUUAUUAGCUAGCAUAGGCUAGGCUGGCAGCCGGCUGAAAAGAUGGCGGAACUGGAAGUUGAUGUGGUGCGUAAAGAUAAUGGUGGGGAAUCAAGGAUAAUUGGAAUAUAGGAAACGUAGAAAAGCAGCAUAAAGUGAUGGAAAUGCCCCUUCUUAUCUUAUAGGAGUAGGAGUUUUACGAGAGGCGGGCUUGCUUUGACAUUUAGUUCUUUUGGAUCAGAAGGAUCUCAAGGUGGUAAUUUCUGGCGUUUCGUGGGAAGUCGAUACUGCAGAGAUUUAAAAUAUUCCUGGAGUGAUUGAUGCUUGUCGGAUGAAUCGUGGGGUGAAUGAAGAAAAAGUUAUCUGUUCUUUUGUUUUUUGAUAUGGUCUCUCCUUACUCCAGUGCAGUUGGGAUAUAUAAACUACAAAAUCAGAGCAUUGGUUCCAAGACUAAUGCAGUGUGACCACUGUAAAACGUUUGGACAUGUUUCAAGAGUUUGCAGAAGGGAGAAGCGGAGAUGUCACAUUUUCAAAACAUAUGAUAUUAUCUUUUCCACAACUUGGACAUGUUGUAAUUGCGGUGGGAACCAUGAAGCCACGUAUUUGGAAUUCCCCACAAGGGUGAAAGAAUGAGGUGGCCAAAGUCAUGGCUGUCCAGAGUUUUUCAUUUGCAGCAGCUGUUAUAAGGGUUGAGAGUUUGAGUGGGCUUGAGGAUCUCCUGAGCAUCGAGCCUGCAUUCAGUGAGUUCCAGAAGACCCUCUUCAGCCAAGCCUCGGUGGGCCUGGAGCGCGGUGUCCAGUCCAAUGAGGUCAACGAGAAACCGGACACAGGCAUCUUACUGUUUCUCGCAAGGCCGUCUCCACACUUCCUGCUCAAGCCUGUACAGAAGUGCAUAGAGUGGCUUAUACACAGCCCCCCCCAUGGAUAACUUGUCAGAGGGGUUGUUUUUAGUACUUCUGAGAACUGAAGUUGUCUCACUGCUAUGAAAGCUUAAUGUAAACUGAAAAUAGCUUGACAUUUUGUCUACUGGUAUUUCUUUCCUGUAGCCCUCACAGAUUCCACUUCCACCUGUAUAAUGGGGAGAGCCUGCUUUCCUGUGUGUUGCCCUUUAUACGAGACUAAGGUGUAUGUAAGUCAUUCAGUUAAAGGACCCCACUAACCUAUGGAAUUGGCUGGUGGGCUUCAGGUAAUUGUUAUAUGAUUUAUGAACAUAACUAUUGGAAGUUGACAGAUGUAUUAUUUUUCAUUACAUGAUCAGCAUGUCAUCAAUGGCUCCAUUGGUAGAGCAUGACGCUUGCAACGUCAGGAUUAUGGGCUCGAUACCCGGGACCACCCAAACGUAAAAUGUAUACACUUAUGACUAUGUCCCUGUGGAUAAAGGCGUCUGCUAAAUGGCAUAUAAUAUAUUAUCAAUGAUCAAUAUAUUUAGAUUUCCUGACAGAAACCAGGAGUUCCCUUUGGCCAGAGGAACCCUAAUCACUGACUGUUACAAAGACUUGGGCUUCAUGGGUUUCAUCUACACCCUGGUCACUAAGUCAAUCAAGACUACAAGGAUUCCACCUACAUGAAAGUGUGCCAGCUGGUUGUGAAGGUGGUCGAUGAAGUCCCAGCUGGUGGACACCCUGGCCCUGCAGAUCAGCAAGUCACGGCAAGGAGCCCCUGCUGCCCAAAGUGGGCCUGGGCUGCCUCAUCGUCCUCCUGCAGAACCAAAAUGAGGGCAUUGUUGGCCCAAAAACCUCUGGCCAGAUGUGUGCUGUGACUUCUUUGGUCCCCACCCUCCAGGCCACGGCAUCAGGCCCUUACUCUGCUACCUGGUUCACGCCGUUGUCUCCUCCAGCACUG